UACAGAGGGUGCAAGCGUUAAUCGGAAUUACUGGGCGUAAAGCGUGCGUAGACGGUUAUGUAAGUCAGGUGUGAAAGCCCGGGGCUCAACCUGGGAAUGGCAUUUGAGACUGCAUAGCUAGGGUGCGGAAGAGGGAAGCGGAAUUUCCGGUGUAGCGGUGAAAUGCGUAGAUAUCGGAAGGAACAUCAGUGGCGAAGGCGGCUUCCUGGACCGACACUGACGCUGAGGCGCGAAAGCUAGGGGAGCAAACGGG
This 253-nucleotide ribosomal RNA is filed under the name uncultured bacterium. RNAcentral describes it as "partial 16S ribosomal RNA". It matches the Rfam family "Bacterial small subunit ribosomal RNA", at positions 524 to 776 of the family's 1533-position model. The record is from RNAcentral.